GGCUUUGACCAUAUCGGCUUAUAAAGUCUGAUCUCAUCAGAUCUCAGAAGCUAAGCAAGUCCGGGCCUGGUUAGUACUUGGAUAGGACACCCCUGGGAAUACAAGGUGCCACCC
This 114-nucleotide ribosomal RNA is filed under the name Periophthalmus magnuspinnatus. The record is from RNAcentral. Lineage: Eukaryota; Metazoa; Chordata; Actinopteri; Gobiiformes; Gobiidae.